RNAcentral lists this unclassified non-coding RNA (305 nucleotides) under plant metagenome. RNAcentral's name for it is "partial contains 5.8S ribosomal RNA, internal transcribed spacer 2, and large subunit ribosomal RNA". The stretch from base 1 to 105 matches the Rfam family "5.8S ribosomal RNA", at positions 50 to 154 of the family's 154-position model. The record is from RNAcentral.
GAAAUGCGAUAAGUAGUGUGAAUUGCAGAAUUCAGUGAAUCAUCGAAUCUUUGAACGCACAUUGCGCCCCUUGGUAUUCCAUGGGGCAUGCCUGUUCGAGCAUCAUCUACACCCUCAAGCUCUGCUUGGUGUUGGGCGUCUGUCCCGCCCCCGCGCGUGGACUCGCCCCAAAUCCAUUGGCAGCGUUCCUUGCCCCCUCUCGCGCAGCACAUUGCGCUUCUCGAGGGCGGCUCCGGGACGCGAUCCAGCAAGAUGACCACCGUCUUUGACCUCGGAUCAGGUAGGGAUACCCGCUGAACUUAAGC